This 206-nucleotide long non-coding RNA is filed under the name Mytilus galloprovincialis (Mediterranean mussel). The record is from RNAcentral. Lineage: Eukaryota; Metazoa; Mollusca; Bivalvia; Mytilida; Mytilidae.
GGCAUUUCACAACCAAUCUUUUAUGGUAAUAUUCUUUUCAAAGCACAAAAAUGUCAGUAUUAACCUCAAAAACUUACAAAACCUUUAAACAGACUUAUAGUAACGAUACUGUUGUCAGGUCAUUUAAGAUUGCAUAUUUUGGCUUUAAUAUUGAUUCACUUAUAGGGUCUUUGCAUCGGAACAAAACACAUUUAUUUAUUAAAAUA